RNAcentral lists this ribosomal RNA (301 nucleotides) under uncultured bacterium. RNAcentral describes it as "partial 16S ribosomal RNA". It matches the Rfam family "Bacterial small subunit ribosomal RNA", at positions 509 to 808 of the family's 1533-position model. The record is from RNAcentral.
CAGUAGCCGCGGUAAUACAGAGGAUGCAAGCGUUGUCCGGAUUUAUUGGGCGUAAAGCGAGCGCAGGCGGUUAGAUAAGUCUGAAGUUAAAGGCUGUGGCUUAACCAUAGUAUGCUUUGGAAACUGUUUAACUUGAGUGCAGAAGGGGAGAGUGGAAUUCCAUGUGUAGCGGUGAAAUGCGUAGAUAUAUGGAGGAACACCGGUGGCGAAAGCGGCUCUCUGGUCUGUAACCGACGCUGAGGCUCGAAAGCGUGGGGAGCAAACAGGAUUAGAUACCCGGGUAGUCCCUGUCUCUUAUACA